Molecule: long non-coding RNA, 326 nt
Filed under: Elaeis guineensis (African oil palm)
Lineage: Eukaryota; Viridiplantae; Streptophyta; Magnoliopsida; Arecales; Arecaceae
Description: long non-coding RNA (EGUI_LNC018359)
Source: RNAcentral
UUGCUACAAGACUCAAAAGGAACACAUUAGGGACCACUUCAAGCUCCCGACUUCUCCUCCCAGUUCUGUCCUUUUCAGCAGUGUUUUUCAGUGCGUGUGAUGAACCCCUUAGCUCUCGCCCCCCGCCUCGUUCUGCUCCAUUGCCGAAACCCCAACCCUAGGGGGAAAAGGGGGGGAUAGAAUUUAAAGGACAACGAUGGCGACGGCAGCGGUGACGAUGACCUGCAUCAGGAAAAAUCGGAAGUACCCCGAAAGUCGUGAUGACGUCGGAGGCAUGCACCACCACCGUGUACUCCACGACGACCACCAUCCUAGGUUCUUCGGCA